This is a long non-coding RNA of Myxocyprinus asiaticus (Chinese sucker), 1690 nucleotides long. RefSeq lists it as uncharacterized. NCBI's taxonomy places the organism in Eukaryota, Metazoa, Chordata, Actinopteri, Cypriniformes, Catostomidae. The record is from RefSeq and is a predicted model, not a curated record. The transcript has 2 exons.
GGGAUCAGCUAGACUGUAAGGUGUGUGAAAAGUGCCCGACAAGACAGCCACAUCUAUGGCAAGUGCUACAGGAAGUGUGGGGUGAAAUGUCACCUGAGUAUCUGGACAAACUGGCAGCUAGAAUAUCAAAGAUCUGCAAAGCCGUCAUUGCUGCACGUGGAGGAUUUUUUGAUGAAACAUCUUUGAAGUUGUUUAAGUACAUUUUUUUCAGAUUGUAAUAGUAAUUUUUCACGUUAUUAAUGUCCUGACUAUACAUUGUGAUCAGUUGAAUGCCACUUUGGUGAAUAAAAGUACCAAUUUCUUUCCAUAAGAGCAAAAUCUGUACAUUAUUCCAAACUUUUGGCCGCCAGUGUAUUUUAUAAGAAAUAUUGUCUGUUGGUUAAUUCCUAGGAAUGAGUUUCUGUUCAUAUGCAGUGGAUAUAUUGAAGUGCUAUACUGAUACAGAAAUGGUCUAUCUUUCCCUUUACUCGAGAUGAAAAUGUAUUUUAAAAGCUGUAUAGAAGAUCCUGUUUGUAUUACUUGCCUUCAGAUCACUGUGGGAGGGAUAUUAUAUAUAUACAUACUGUGUGUAUAUAUAUAUAUAUAUAUAUAUAUAUAUAUAUAUACACACACAUAUACAUACAUACACUACCGGUCAAAGGUUUUGAAACACACUCAUUCUUCAUUAUAAUUUUUUUUUUUUUUUUUUUUUCACAUUUUAGAAUAAUAGUAAAGUUAUCACAGCUAUGGAAUAACAUAAAUGGAAUUAUGUUGUGACUAAACAAAAUCCCAAAUAAAUCAAAACUGUGUUAUAUUUUAAAGUAGUCACCCUUUGCCUAGAAUUUGCAGACAUGUACUCUUGACAUUUUCUCAACCAACUUCUUGAGGUAUCACCCUGGGAUGCUUUUUAAACAGUAUUGAAGGAGUUCCCAUCUAUGUUGGGCACUUAUUGGCUGCUUUUCUUAAUUAUUUGGUCCAAGUCAUCCAUUUAAAAAAUAAUCAGUUUCAUAAAUUUUAGUUUUAUAAUGAAUUAAAUUAAUAUGGUGGCACAACUGUAUUUUUGUCUACAAAACUAAUUUCAAACAUUUAAGCAUACGCCUUCAGAUCAAAAGAUUUUUAAAAUCAUGAGAAACAUUUCAGUCAAGUGUUUCAAAAGUUUUGACCGGUAGUGCAUGUGUGUGUGUAUAUAUAUAUAUAUAUAUAUAUAUAUAUAUAAAUGAAAAUUGAUUAAUUAUAUAUAGAUAGAUAUUUAAUUAGUUGAUUUAAAUGAUGGCACACCGCUGCAGUUAACUGGUUUCAAACCUUGGCCUGGCUUUUCACUGACCUUUUCUAAUUCUGUUCACAUGCUUGUUCAUCAUUUCGGUUUAUAUUUUUCUUGUUUUGUCUGCGUAUCUGUUCAGUUCACAACAAUGUACUCUUUAGAUUUAAUGCUGUAUAUGGACAUAACAGACAAAAAAGAAGAAAACAACACUACAGAUGAAGGUUUUUUUCCAGCUGUAUUUUGUAAAAGCUGUUCUAAAGAUGUAUUUUUUCAACUCUCUUACAGUGAUGCAAACAGGGCCAUGGGCUCACCUCAAACACAAAUCAAAUCAGGUUUUUCCGGGAGGGGUUUUUUUGUUUGUUUUUGUUUUAAAUUAAUAAAAAUGUCCUUCUCUUUCAAUUGUACUACUGUUCCUCUAUGAUACAUUUUAAAAUAAAGCUUUGGUAUUUC